This 500-nucleotide ribosomal RNA is filed under the name uncultured ciliate. RNAcentral's name for it is "SSU rRNA". It matches the Rfam family "Eukaryotic small subunit ribosomal RNA", at positions 492 to 1003 of the family's 1831-position model. Lineage: Eukaryota; Ciliophora. The record is from RNAcentral.
GCAUCCAUGUCUUAUAAUUGGAAUGAGUAGAACUUUAAAUCCCUUUUCGAGUAUCAAUUGGAGGGCAAGUCUGGUGCCAGCAGCCGCGGUAAUUCCAGCUCCAAUAGCGUAUAUUAAAGUUGUUGCAGUUAAAAAGCUCGUAGUUGGAUUUCUGGGAGGGUGCCGCCGUCCGGCGUGUCCGUGUGCAGUGGCGCCCUUCCAUCCUUCUGUUAGCGUCUCUUGGCAUUCAUUUGCUGGCGGCGGGCUCAGAUAUUUUACCUUGAGAAAAUUAGAGUGUUUCAGGCAGGCUAGGCCGGAAUACAUUAGCAUGGAAUAGUGGAAUAGGACUACGGUCUCUUUGUUGGUUUGAGGGACUGCAGUAAUGAUUAAUAGGGAUAGUUGGGGGCAUUAGUAUUUAAUUGUCAGAGGUGGAAUUCUCAGAUUUGUUAAAGACUAACUUAUGCGAAAGCAUUUGCCAAGGAUGUUUUCAUUGAUCAAGAACGAAAGUUAGGGGAUCGAAG